RNAcentral lists this long non-coding RNA (291 nucleotides) under Mytilus galloprovincialis (Mediterranean mussel). The record is from RNAcentral. Lineage: Eukaryota; Metazoa; Mollusca; Bivalvia; Mytilida; Mytilidae.
AAUUGAAUGUCGGUACACUUGCCUAAAAAUGGUAAUUUGAUAUCGAUCGAAGCAUUUAGCAUUAUGUAUUAACUCAUUAAAGAAACCAGGGUUACACUUCUAUAAGCCAUACACGCGUUUCGUCUACAAAAAAAAAACAUAAGUGAGGCUAGUAUCAAAAGCGUUAAAAUGCAGAAAAUUAAAGUAUGAAGUUGAAGACCAUUAUAGACCCUAAAUAUAAAAUAAGGUAAUAUUUUUCUGGACUUAAACAUCCGUAAUGUAUUAUAUGCAUCAAGUCACACGAGGGAAAUG